GGCCGGUUAGCUCAGUUGGUUAGAGCGUGGUGCUAAAAACGCCAGGUCCCGUGUUCAACCCCCGUACUGGCCA
This 73-nucleotide transfer RNA is filed under the name Gadus morhua (Atlantic cod). RNAcentral describes it as "tRNA-Phe (AAA) (tRNA-Phe-AAA-2-1)". It matches the Rfam family "tRNA". Rfam says of the family: Transfer RNA (tRNA) molecules are approximately 80 nucleotides in length. Their secondary structure includes four short double-helical elements and three loops (D, anti-codon, and T loops). Lineage: Eukaryota; Metazoa; Chordata; Actinopteri; Gadiformes; Gadidae. The record is from RNAcentral.